CUGCUGCCUUCCGUAGGAGUUUGGGCCGUGUCUCAGUCCCAAUGUGGCCGGUCACCCUCUCAGGUCGGCUACUGAUCGUCGCCUUGGUGGGCCGUUACCUCACCAACAAGCUAAUCAGACGCGGGUCCAUCUCACACCACCGGAGUUUUUCACACCGUAACAUGCGUUACUCGUGCGCUUAUGCGGUUUUAGCAGCAAUUCUCGCUGUUAUCCCCCUGUGUGAGGCAGGUUACCCCACGCGUUACUCACCCGUCCGCCA
This 259-nucleotide ribosomal RNA is filed under the name uncultured bacterium. RNAcentral describes it as "partial 16S ribosomal RNA". The record is from RNAcentral.